CCUACGGGCGGCAGCAGUGGGGAAUAUUGGACAAUGGGCGAAAGCCUGAUCCAGCCAUGCCGCGUGUGUGAAGAAGGCCUUCGGGUUGUAAAGCACUUUCAGUGGGGAAGAAAGCCUUGGGGCUAAUACCCUCGAGGAAGGACAUCACCCACAGAAGAAGCACCGGCUAACUCCGUGCCAGCAGCCGCGGUAAUACGGAGGGUGCGAGCGUUAAUCGGAAUUACUGGGCGUAAAGCGCGCGUAGGCGGUCUGAUAAGCCGGUUGUGAAAGCCCCGGGCUCAACCUGGGAACGGCAUCCGGAACUGUCAGGCUAGAGUGCAGGAGAGGAAGGUAGAAUUCCCGGUGUAGCGGUGAAAUGCGUAGAGAUCGGGAGGAAUACCGGUGGCGAAGGCGGCCUUCUGGACUGACACUGACGCUGAGGUGCGAAAGCGUGGGUAGCAAACAGGAUUAGAUACCCCUGUAGUC
RNAcentral lists this ribosomal RNA (465 nucleotides) under Vreelandella stevensii. RNAcentral's name for it is "partial 16S ribosomal RNA". It matches the Rfam family "Bacterial small subunit ribosomal RNA", at positions 338 to 795 of the family's 1533-position model. Lineage: Bacteria; Pseudomonadati; Pseudomonadota; Gammaproteobacteria; Oceanospirillales; Halomonadaceae. The record is from RNAcentral.